AACGAACGCUGGCGGCAUGCCUAACACAUGCAAGUCGAACGAGACCUUCGGGUCUAGUGGCGCACGGGUGCGUAACGCGUGGGAACCUGCCCUUAGGUUCGGAAUAACUCCCCGAAAGGGGUGCUAAUACCGGAUAAUGUCUUCGGACCAAAGAUUUAUCGCCUUUGGAUGGGCCCGCGUUGGAUUAGCUAGUUGGUAGGGUAAAAGCCUAUCAAGGCGACGAUCCAUAGCUGGUCUGAGAGGAUGAUCAGCCACGCUGGGACUGAGACACGGCCCAGACUCCUACGGGAGGGAGCAGUGGGGAAUACUGGACAAUGGGCGAAGGCCUGAUCCAGCAAUGCCGCGUGAGUGAUGAAGGCCUUAGGGUUGUAAAGCUCUUUUACCCGGGAUGAUAAUGACAGUACCGGGAGAAUAAGCUCCGGCUAACUCCGUG
RNAcentral lists this ribosomal RNA (433 nucleotides) under uncultured bacterium. RNAcentral's name for it is "partial 16S ribosomal RNA". It matches the Rfam family "Bacterial small subunit ribosomal RNA", at positions 29 to 507 of the family's 1533-position model. The record is from RNAcentral.